UAUAUUUACCAGAGACUACAAGGCCACCAUUGGAGGUGACUUUGAGAUUGAGAUUGAGAGCUUUGAGCUCUCAGGAGCUCCAUUCUCCCUUCAGAUCUGGGACACAGAUGGCCAGGAACAUUUAAAAUGCAUCGAUUCAGCAUUCUACAGAGGAGUUCAGGGUAAAACCGAGACAGCCAGUGAAAUACCUUUGUAGAGUAGAAUAUGGAAUCCCUGGGGGGGUUCACUGUUGCUGUUUGACAUGGCAGACAUUAAGACCCUGCAAGGCAAUGGUUAGAGGAGACCAUGAGGGAGAAUGAACCUGGUCGGAACCAAGAGUGACCUACUUAUUAUUUUGGCCAACAGAAAUUAAUGGUAAGUAAUGUAUUGUAGAAUUUUGGAGUCACUUUUAUUGUAAAUAAGAAUAGAAUAUGUUUCUAAACACUUAUACAUCAAUGUGGAUCCUACCAUGAUUACAGAUACCGUACAAUUAUAGGACACAGGGGAUACACACGUCAGAGAAGAUUGGAAGAGGAGAGGGAGAUGGGAAGAAAAAUGAAAGUGGAUUUCAAAAGUGGAAAGAACUGUGACUGACACGAGCCUCCAUAUCUGUCUUAACUGGUAUCAUUCGUACGUGCCUCACUGUCUAGAAUGGACACACAAGAGUCUACAGCCUUUAUAAUCAUAAUUUAGUACUGCCAUUUUGGGAUGUAAUGUAUCAACAUGCUUGAUUUUAAUAUGGUAAUCAAUUACCUUUAUUUAAUGCAUUGUAUUUGAUGAAUUCACAGUAUUUUGUCUAAUUUUCAGACUAUUUUGUAUUUGAAGUGGUUUGACGGUUGUUUUAUGUAAUAGAUUAUCAUGUAUUGUAAUGUGUAGCCCUAACAUUCUGCAGCUGAAAAUGUGACAUUUAUUGUGUAUUUGUGUUAUUACUCCUAACCUCGUCCCUAUGCUGAAUUGCUACUGCUCAGAGAUAGAGCCGGCUGCUGGGCAAGAUUACUUAUCAAAAUAAAGCUUUCUAUUUUUGUACCGGUUUCCAUAGUGUGACAUUUACAUAUCUCAGUUCCUUUCACUUGGAUGGCUCUUACUUUAUAAAAUGCUACAGUGCUUUUUACAAAAGACAAUCACCUCAAUGGAAAACGGGUUCAAUAUACUGCUUGGACCACCAUAAACAUCUCUCCAAACACAGAAUAAACUGCAAACAAAAAAAUAUAUUACUGCAGUGGAAUAACUUUCUAUAAAUAUUCGGUCAAAUUUGAAUGAACAAAUACCGAUACAGAGAAACAAGCAUAACUUCUGAGCAGAUUUGACCCAAAACAAUUGCUCAAGACAGCAUGGUCCCCAAAAUGGUCACCUUCUAACAGAAUACACACCAAUGAUUUGUUUUGAAGCCACAGUGCCUCCAUCUUGGCACUCCCGCACCAUUGUAAAAAAUAUUUUGGAAGCUGAGUGUGAGGCUAUAAAAAUGCAUUUCUUAAUUACUGUCUCGGUUUGUUUUUGACAUGUUUAUUCUAUUACAGACCCUGUAAUGCAUACUUUUAAAUUA
Molecule: long non-coding RNA, 1522 nt
Organism: Oncorhynchus keta (chum salmon)
Lineage: Eukaryota; Metazoa; Chordata; Actinopteri; Salmoniformes; Salmonidae
Exons: 4
Source: RefSeq, a predicted model, not a curated record